UAAACGAUGUCGAUUUGGAGGUUGUGGCUUCCGGAGCUAACGCGUUAAAUCGACCGCCUGGGGAGUACGGCCGCAAGGUUAAAACUCAAAUGAAUUGACGGGGGCCCGCACAAGCGGUGGAGCAUGUGGUUUAAUUCGAUGCAACGCGAAGAACCUUACCUGGUCUUGACAUCCAGGUGCUGCAUGGCUGUCGUCAGCUCGUGUUGUGAAAUGUUGGGUUAAGUCCCGCAACGAGCGCAACCCUUAUCCUUUGUUGCAACUCAAAGGAGACUGCCAGUGAUAAACUGGAGGAAGGUGGGGAUGACGUCAAGUCAUCAUGGCCCUUACGACCAGGGCUACACACGUGCUACAAUGGCAUAUACAAAGAGAAGCGACCUCGCGAGAGCAAGCGGAUCUCAUAAAGUAUGUCGUAGUCCGGAUUGGAGUCUGCAACUCGACUCCAUGAAGUCGGAAUCGCUAGUAAUCGUAGAUCAGAUGCUACGGUGAAUACGUUCCCGGGCCUUGUACACACCGCCCGUCACACCAUGGGAGUGGGUUGCAAAAGAAGUAGGUUACCACUUUGUGAUUCAUGACUGGGGUGAAGUCGUAACAAGGUAACCGA
This 601-nucleotide ribosomal RNA is filed under the name uncultured bacterium. RNAcentral's name for it is "bacterial SSU rRNA". It matches the Rfam family "Bacterial small subunit ribosomal RNA", at positions 803 to 1503 of the family's 1533-position model. The record is from RNAcentral.